GACGAACGCUGGCGGCGUGCUUAACACAUGCAAGUCGAACGGAAAGGCCCUGCUUUUGUGGGGUGCUCGAGUGGCGAACGGGUGAGUAACACGUGAGUAACCUGCCCUUGACUUUGGGAUAACUUCAGGAAACUGGGGCUAAUACCGGAUAGGAGCUCCUGCUGCAUGGUGGGGGUUGGAACGUUUCGGCGGUUGGGGAUGGACUCGCGGCUUAUCAGCUUGUUGGUGGGGUAGUGGCUUACCAAGGCUUUGACGGGUAGCCGGCCUGAGAGGGUGACCGGCCACAUUGGGACUGAGAUACGGCCCAGACUCCUACGGGAGGCAGCAGUGGGGAAUAUUGCACAAUGGGCGGAAGCCUGAUGCAGCAACGCCGCGUGCGGGAUGACGGCCUUCGGGUUGUAAACCGCUUUCGCCUGUGAUGAAGCGUGAGUGACGGUAAUGGGUAAAGAAGCACCGGCUAACUACGUG
This 468-nucleotide ribosomal RNA is filed under the name uncultured bacterium. RNAcentral's name for it is "partial 16S ribosomal RNA". It matches the Rfam family "Bacterial small subunit ribosomal RNA", at positions 28 to 507 of the family's 1533-position model. The record is from RNAcentral.